UAGGGAUGGGUAUCGUUAAGGUUUUAACGGUAUUAUCACCCUGGCCUUUUUUAGCACCAUGUACUUAUGUUUGAGCUACUGAGUUUGUUACAAACAACAUGAUUAUUUAAUUUAACACGCAAAAGUCUGAGUCUCGCUGUAUCGCUCAGGCUGCACUGCAGUGUCUAUUCACAGGCGCGACCCCACUACUGAUCGGCACGGGGGCUUUGACCUGCUCCGUCUCCGACCUGGGCCGGUUCACCCCUCCUUAGACGACCUGGUGGUCCCGAGCUCCCCCAGGAGCACCAUAUCGAUACCGAACUUAGCGCGGACACCCGAUCGACAUAGUCCACUGCAGCCCAGAACCCCUGAACUCAAGCGAUCCGCCAGCCUCAGCCUCCCAGCAGCUUGGAUUACAGGCGCGCGCCACUGCACCCGGCGAGAGCUGCGAGCACCAGCGCUGCUCCUCAAUCUAGUGCUCACUGCGCCCUCUAGUGCAGCACAGCAGAAAAAGUAUCUCUGUCUCUCUCAAAUAUAAAUGUAGAAUCGAGAAGCUUUAUUAGUAAGGAAACUUUAAAAAAUAGUUGUUUUACUCCUCAGAAUACAAUACAAAUACAAAAUUUAGUUUAGAGAUUUAAUGCACCCUUUAUAACAAAAUUGCGGUAGGUCUUCUAUUGUGUCUGGAAAGGGGAGAGAUCCUGAAACUACUCAGAGAAACUGUCAGGCUGUUUCCCUGGACUCACCUGCUUCAUGGCUGAAGAAUGAGACUUUGGACUUUGGGUCAGUCUUAUUCUAUUGUGGUUUGAUUUUCAGUUUUCUGAAUGAUGAGACAGUUGGGGUAACAAGAAAAUAUCUGCAUAAAGAUAUUGAGUCAAUUUUAAUGUUUGAAGACAAAAUGGGUGCAUUUCUUGAAACUUUAUACAGGUUCCACCUGUUUUAAUAUUUAAAAUAUACUGUAUAGUAAUGUUACACUUUUUCUCUUGCUUGCUCCUCUUUAAUGACAUUUGAUUUGGAGAACACUGGUGGAGCCUGUGGUGGCACGCAGGCCAUCAGAAUGGAAAUUCUAGAAAGACAAGCUGAUGUUGAGAAAGAGGCAGAGCGCAAAAAGCUGGAACUGAUGAAGGACAUAAAGGAACAGCCAACUCCUCUCCUGCACUAUACCAACCAACUGCAGCAGCAACAGAGCACUAGACAAUAUACACUCAGAAAACACGCAAAUGGGAAAGGAAACUGGAGGACUUGCAUUCUACUGAGAACUCCAAAAAGAGAGGAGCUCCAGUAUGUUCAGAUAAAGGUUGGGAUUUGUUCAAUUGAUCAAAUGAUCGCACCUUACUGGUGAGUCUCUGUGGAUAUUGAGGACCCCUACAAACAGUUGGAACUGAUUCAGAAACAUCUUCAGCUUGACAGAGCUAGUAGCUAAUGAGUGAAAGUUUGACGUUAUGACAACCCCAAGUCAAACUAACGAGGAUGACAAGCAGCAGAGAUUAAGAUCCAAGCUCUGAGGAUGGUUAUGCACUGAAAACAGUCAGAUCUGCCUCUAUUCCACUACACAGUGCUCACAUUUCACAAAAUCAACAACUGAUGAAUUAAACACCACUUUUUUCUUGUUCAAUAAGCUGGAAAUCACUCACAAAUAUGUCACAACAGUUUGUACAUUGUCCCAUUUUCUCCAUGACAUAUGUGGUCAACAAAUAUGCAAUUAAUAUUACCAAAUGCAUAUCCUGCUGCCUAAAGCCAAAGCGGCAGACACUACCAGGGUUUGGGAGCCUCGCAGGAUGCUUUUCUGAGGCAUGGAGCGGCAGUGACAGGAACCUCUGGACCACGAGAGGAUCUUCUGCGAUCACGAUGACCAUCACAUGGAGCUCUUCCACAAAGUCGGCUGUGACAGGGCAUUUUUGGGACUGUACCUAAGCAAGUAACACUGCCUGAGACCAGGUGUGGCCAACAUCAGAGGCCUGCAGAGUUUUGCAGAGAAACUCACCUGCCUUUAGCUUUCUAUAACCUUUAGACCUCGAUUAGCUUGUGCUUGAUUAGGGUUGGAGCUGAACUCUGCAGGACUGUGGCUCUCCAGGACCAACUUUGGCCACCCCUGCGCUAGACACUAUCAAGGCUUGCCAGCCCUGCAAGAUGCUAUUGCAUUGUGGGAAGUCCUGAACUGCGGUGGUAAUUAUAGUGCUUUCAUAAAUGUGAAAAUGAUUCUAUAUACUAUCUAUACACUUAAAUAACUGCAAUAGAUCUGAGAACUACUUCUAGGAAUUAUUCCUGUUUUAUGCCGUAACAUAUAUUGUAGUAUAAUACGAUACAUGGCCCAGAAACAGUGUCCAGAUUAGGCAAGUCUUUUGUAGGAUUUUUUGAACGCUAACUUUAAAUCCAAUUGUAAU
Molecule: long non-coding RNA, 2360 nt
Organism: Cyprinus carpio (common carp)
Lineage: Eukaryota; Metazoa; Chordata; Actinopteri; Cypriniformes; Cyprinidae
Source: Ensembl